CUCUUCUUUUGGUACAGGAGUACACAUAUGCACCAUUGCAUUUCACACAGAAUGAAAGAGAGGUGGUCUUGUUCUACAAAGUUUUAGUUAAACAAGAAAAAUGAGCAUGCUUUGCAACAACCAUCCUUUUCUAAUGCACUUAAUAAUUCUCUGUUUCAGAGCAGUAUGUGGCUAGUGACUUAUCUUCCUGAGGAGAGUGACCGAGAUGUCUGUUUGGAAUUAUUCCUGGAAUUAGACCAGCAUGAGGUCUCCUCUACCAAUCUAAGUUUGACAUACCUGGUGCGUUGGCACAGUUGCUUUGCAAAAGGAAAUGGUGAGAAGCGAACCCUCUGUGGGCAAACCAUCAGCAGCAGGGGCAGCAUCUCUUGAGCACGCAUGGCUGGCAUAGGCACAUGCAGCAGGACCGCUGGCUCAUGGGCAGCUGCUCCAGAAGCAUGCGUUUCUGCACGGGAUGGUGCUGACAUGUAGCAAGAACGAAGCAUGAUGGUAUGGAAGAGCAGUGACUGGCACACCAGCUGGCCAGUGCAGGCUUUCUUCUCCUAAACCAAGCUUUGCAGCCCCAGCCCCUGGCAAAUGGGUGCCUCCAGGAGUUCAAGAAAGAGCCCGGAUAGGCACAACGGCCGAGCAUGGUGGUGGUUUGCAGCUGGAGGGCAGAGAGGAGUGGCUGGGUUGGCUGGGGUGGCACAGACCAACAGACCCGUCUGCAGCUGGCUGCCCGGAGUGGUUACAGACGCACUGCUGGACAGUGGAGUUGGAGAAUUGAUCUUUUGAGCCCCAACUGAGGGCAUAAACGUGGUCCUUGGCUACCUGAUACUGACUCAUGUGUUUCCUGCGAGCAGAAAUGUACAACUGUUGUUGUGUUUGCAAAAACACCUGGUCUUUGGUUAACAAACAAGUUUAUUUUACCAGUGCCAAGUACUUAGUGAAAUAUUUAUUAGUAAAGUACUUAUUACUGAAGUAACUUCUGUUUGUUACGCUUAUAGAAUAUGGGCUGUGAUGACAGUCCUAUUUUACUUCAGGUACAAAAUACAAAUGAUCAUACAAACGAAAAUACAACGAUUCCUAACUUCAGUCUUCCCACGUUCUGAAUAAAUGCUGAUCUUGCAACA
Molecule: long non-coding RNA, 1109 nt
Filed under: Anser cygnoides (Swan goose)
Lineage: Eukaryota; Metazoa; Chordata; Aves; Anseriformes; Anatidae
Description: lncRNA (ENSACDG00005009446.1)
Source: RNAcentral